This 159-nucleotide unclassified non-coding RNA is filed under the name uncultured fungus. RNAcentral's name for it is "sequence contains ITS1, 5.8S rRNA gene". Lineage: Eukaryota; Fungi. The record is from RNAcentral.
AAAUACGCUCUUGCAUUGGACUUCGGUCCUAAGCAUUCGUUAACCAUUGUGAAAACACCUGUUGCUUUGGCGGCAUGCGUUCGCGCUGUCAGCCCGUCCGAAGCUCAACCAAAACUAUUUCUGUAAAUUUCUUGUCAGAAACGAAAAAGUAAAUCGUUA